Molecule: ribosomal RNA, 497 nt
Filed under: uncultured bacterium
Lineage: Bacteria
Description: partial 16S ribosomal RNA
Rfam family: Bacterial small subunit ribosomal RNA
Source: RNAcentral
GACGAACGCUGGCGGCGUGCCUAAUACAUGCAAGUAGAACGCUGAAGGAAGGAGCUUGCUCUUUCUGGAUGAGUUGCGAACGGGUGAGUAACGCGUAGGUAACCUGCCUGGUAGCGGGGGAUAACUAUUGGAAACGAUAGCUAAUACCGCAUAAAAUUGAUUAUUGCAUGAUAGUCAAUUAAAAGGUGCAACUGCACCACUACCAGAUGGACCUGCGUUGUAUUAGCUAGUUGGUGGGGUAACGGCUCACCAAGGCGACGAUACAUAGCCGACCUGAGAGGGUGAUCGGCCACACUGGGACUGGGACACGGCCCAGACUCCUACGGGAGGCAGCAGUAGGGAAUCUUCGGCAAUGGACGGAAGUCUGACCGAGCAACGCCGCGUGAGUGAAGAAGGGUUUCGGAUCGUAAAGCUCGGUUGUAAGAGAAGAACGAGUGUGAGAGUGGAAAGUUCACGCUGUGACGGUAUCUUAACAGAAAGGGACGGCUAACUACGUG